GCGAGUUGUACCUUCGUAGACCGGGGGCAGACCCUCGCAGUACCAGGCC
This 49-nucleotide transfer RNA is filed under the name Lygodactylus graniticolus. RNAcentral describes it as "partial tRNA-Tyr". Lineage: Eukaryota; Metazoa; Chordata; Lepidosauria; Squamata; Gekkonidae. The record is from RNAcentral.